Molecule: ribosomal RNA, 395 nt
Filed under: uncultured Acidimicrobiaceae bacterium
Lineage: Bacteria; Bacillati; Actinomycetota; Acidimicrobiia; Acidimicrobiales; Acidimicrobiaceae
Description: bacterial SSU rRNA
Rfam family: Bacterial small subunit ribosomal RNA
Source: RNAcentral
AAUAUUGCGCAAUGGGCGAAAGCCUGACGCAGCAACGCCGCGUGGAGGACGAAGGCCUUCGGGUUGUAAACUCCUUUCAGCAGGGACGAAACUGACGGUACCUGCAGAAGAAGCCCCGGCUAACUACGUGCCAGCAGCCGCGGUGAGACGUAGGGGGCAAGCGUUGUCCGGAUUCAUUGGGCGUAAAGAGCUCGUAGGCGGCUUGGCAAGUCGGAUGUGAAAUCUCCAGGCUCAACCUGGAGUCGCCAUCCGAUACUGCUAUGGCUAGAGUCCGGUAGAGGAUCGUGGAAUUCCUGGUGUAGCGGUGAAAUGCGCAGAUAUCAGGAGGAACACCGAUGGCGAAGGCAGCGAUCUGGGCCGGUACUGACGCUGAGGAGCGAAAGCGUGGGGAGAGA